Molecule: ribosomal RNA, 118 nt
Filed under: Pteropus alecto (black flying fox)
Lineage: Eukaryota; Metazoa; Chordata; Mammalia; Chiroptera; Pteropodidae
Source: RNAcentral
GUCUAUGGCCAUGCUACCCUGAACAAGCCCGAUCCCAUUUGAUCUCGGAAGCUAAGCAGAGUUGGGCCUGGUUAGUACUUGGAUGGGAGACCUCCUAGGAAGUCUGUAGGCAUAAAUA